CAGGGCCGGGUUCUGCCCCCGUUCCAGUCUGUAUUACUGUUGCCGUCCAUAUGGCAAGAAGAGGAAGAAAGCAGUUCCAGUCUAACACAGGAUUGCUGGAGGUGUUAUUGGAAAUCAGAAUUCAACUAGAAUGUUCUUCCUCUCAGCUCCCUGGUGGAAGGUCACACACACAGCUGCCCUAGCCUCCUAGAUAUCACCUCAAGCCAAAUCACAGUGGUGGUGGUUUCUCUGUGUCGUCCUUGCUGUCCUGGAACUCACUCUGUAGACCGUGCUGACCUCAAACUCAGGGAUCUGCUGGUCUCUGCCUACUGAGUGCUGGGAUUAAAGGCAUGCAUCACCACCACCCAGCUUAACAUUUAGGUGAGUUUCAAAGGGCAUCAUUUACUUCCAAUUAGGAGGGCAUAAAACUACGAUCCUCCUCCCCUGGUGCUGAGGAAACACAACUGACUCUUGGAAAAAACGAGGCUUUAAGAACAGGAAAGCAGGUCUCUGCCUUCAGCAUCUCUGGGUUCACUCCAGGAGCUUUUUUUUGCCAGAUUAAAAAUUCCCUUCCUUAUGCCAACCAGAAGGGAAAGCUGCCUAGAAAAUGGCUUAAAUAGACGGAGGCCCGUGAAGAACGAGAAAACAAAUUAAAAUCAACAUAUAUUGUAUUUUGACAAUGAUGUCCUUUCUGAAUACUCUGAGUAUCUUUAUAUGUCCUUACAUAAUUUCCGGGAUGAGAACGGCUACUCCUGUUUACAGAUGGGAAAAACAGAGUCCUGGAAAGUUACUGGUUAGAACUGGUUAAUGUUGCAGAGAAAGCGGAGUUUCUGAAGCUUCUUGAUUUCAAAUCAUGGGCGAUUUUAAAAACCAGGCCAAGCAGAAACCAAGGUUGGAAAGAUCUUCAGAAAAUCUGCUCUUAAAUCUGUUUCUCCACUAAGCACA
Peromyscus maniculatus bairdii (prairie deer mouse) is the source of this 924-nucleotide long non-coding RNA. RefSeq lists it as uncharacterized. Lineage: Eukaryota; Metazoa; Chordata; Mammalia; Rodentia; Cricetidae. The record is from RefSeq and is a predicted model, not a curated record.